CUACUAGGGUUUCUAAUCCCGUUCGCUCCCCUGGCUUUCGCGCCUCAGCGUCAGUUUUCGUCCAGAAAGUCGCCUUCGCCACUGGUGUUCUUCCUAAUAUCUACGCAUUUCACCGCUACACUAGGAAUUCCACUUUCCCCUCCGAUACUCUAGAUCAGCAGUUUCCAUCCCAUCACGGGGUUAAGCCCCGAACUUUUAGGACAGACUGACUGAUCCGCCUGCGCGCGCUUUACGCCCAAUAAUUCCGGACAACGCUUGCCACCUACGUAUUACCGCGGCUGCUGGCAC
Molecule: ribosomal RNA, 288 nt
Filed under: uncultured Veillonella sp.
Lineage: Bacteria; Bacillati; Bacillota; Negativicutes; Veillonellales; Veillonellaceae
Description: partial 16S ribosomal RNA
Source: RNAcentral